Molecule: ribosomal RNA, 587 nt
Filed under: uncultured Hyphomicrobiales bacterium
Lineage: Bacteria; Pseudomonadati; Pseudomonadota; Alphaproteobacteria; Hyphomicrobiales
Description: bacterial SSU rRNA
Rfam family: Bacterial small subunit ribosomal RNA
Source: RNAcentral
GAACGCGCCCUUCGGUUCGGAAUAACUCAGGGAAACUUGGGCUAAUACCGGAUACGCCCUUACGGGGAAAGAUUUAUUGCCGAAGGAACGGCCCGCGUCCGAUUAGCUUGUUGGUGAGGUAACGGCUCACCAAGGCGACGAUCGGUAGCUGGUCUGAGAGGAUGACCAGCCUCACUGGGACUGAGACACGGCCCAGACUCCUACGGGAGGCAGCAGUGGGGAAUAUUGGACAAUGGGCGCAAGCCUGAUCCAGCCAUGCCGCGUGGGUGAUGAAGGCCCUAGGGUUGUAAAGCCCUUUCAGCGGGGAAGAUAAUGACGGUACCCGCAGAAGAAGCCCCGGCUAACUUCGUGCCAGCAGCCGCGGUAAUACGAAGGGGGCUAGCGUUGCUCGGAAUUACUGGGCGUAAAGCGCACGUAGGCGGAUUGUUAAGUCGGGGGUGAAAUCCUGGAGCUCAACUCCAGAACUGCCUUCGAUACUGGCGAUCUCGAGUUCGGGAGAGGUGAGUGGAACUGCGAGUGUAGAGGUGAAAUUCGUAGAUAUUCGCAAGAACACCAGUGGCGAAGGCGGCUCACUGGCCCGAUACUGA